RNAcentral lists this ribosomal RNA (386 nucleotides) under uncultured Pseudomonas sp. RNAcentral describes it as "bacterial SSU rRNA". It matches the Rfam family "Bacterial small subunit ribosomal RNA", at positions 1000 to 1382 of the family's 1533-position model. The record is from RNAcentral. Lineage: Bacteria; Pseudomonadati; Pseudomonadota; Gammaproteobacteria; Pseudomonadales; Pseudomonadaceae.
CCAGAGAUGGAUUGGUGCCUUCGGGAACUCUGACACAGGUGCUGCAUGGCUGUCGUCAGGCUCCGUGUCGUGAGAUCGUUGGGUUAAGUCCCGUAACGAGCGCAACCCUUGUCCUUAGUUACCAGCACGUUAUGGUGGGCACUCUAAGGAGACUGCCGGUGACAAACCGGAGGAAGGUGGGGAUGACGUCAAGUCAUCAUGGCCCUUACGGCCUGGGCUACACACGUGCUACAAUGGUCGGUACAAAGGGUUGCCAAGCCGCGAGGUGGAGCUAAUCCCAUAAAACCGAUCGUAGUCCGGAUCGCAGUCUGCAACUCGACUGCGUGAAGUCGGAAUCGCUAGUAAUCGUGAAUCAGAAUGUCACGGUGAAUACGUUCCCGGGCCUU